Molecule: long non-coding RNA, 524 nt
Filed under: Homo sapiens (human)
Lineage: Eukaryota; Metazoa; Chordata; Mammalia; Primates; Hominidae
Description: alpha-1,3-mannosyl-glycoprotein 4-beta-N- acetylglucosaminyltransferase B (ENSG00000284501.2)
Source: RNAcentral
GGCAUGGCUGGGGCAGAAUUCUCUGUAGGUAGGGUGUGUCACCUGGGGAAGGACAUUCUGGGUCCUUGGCAGGGUGACUAUAAAAGCACACUGGCAUGAAGGCCUAGGUGGGGCCAUAUCUGAAGGGCUGGGGCAUGCUCUUUGAGUCGUGGGUAGAGCCGUGAGCCCUUGCCCUUUGUCCUGAGCCAGUGUGUGCCUCCCGCAGCAGCCACAUGCCCGCGGAUUGAUGUCAGGAGCCACCUCUGCAAGCCUGGCUUACCACAGGGAGCCAGGCUCCAGGACAGCAGAGUGAGGGAGAGGCACUGGCUCCAUGGCACCCACUGUGUCUGGGGGGCAUCCAGGAGGCUGGCUCUCUGAGGGCCUGGGGAACAGGAGAGCAAAGAAGGGGAGCACUUAGAUUCACGAGCCCAGCCCCUAGGGGAUAGAAGCCUAAGGAUCCUGUGAGGGCUGCUGGUGGGGUGAGGCCAUCCCACGCAACUCUGGGGUCUGUGAAGCCACCAAGGAUCAAGGAAUGGAAGAGCUGC